Molecule: long non-coding RNA, 408 nt
Organism: Daphnia pulex (common water flea)
Lineage: Eukaryota; Metazoa; Arthropoda; Branchiopoda; Diplostraca; Daphniidae
Exons: 3
Source: RefSeq, a predicted model, not a curated record
AGACUAUAUGUGGAUUCAUGCACACUUGGAGUGUACUUUAAAUAGCCUAGAUCUUCAAAUUCUACAAGCCAAUUUAUUCUAUAGGCCGAGGUAGAUGGUCUCCAUCCAUACAAAUUUUUCUUCAAGAGUAAGGGAGUUACAUGAGUUAGAUGGAGAAGCCAGGAGUUUUGAGACAUCACGGUUCUUGGGCACGCCUUUGGAUGGACGAUGACGUAUUAAACUAUUGGAGUUCAAUUGAAGCGAUGAUUUUGCCGAAUUUACCUCAAUAGCCUUCCUUCAUUGCUUGGCAAUAUGCCAUACGUGAAACAACGUCUCCAUCCAACCGACUCCGAUUCAACGAUUCUUCGUGUUUAAAAUUUCGAACGAGCAAAUAAUACAAAACUUGAACUGCUAAAUGAAAAACCCUUA